Planktothrix serta PCC 8927 is the source of this 216-nucleotide non-coding RNA. Lineage: Bacteria; Bacillati; Cyanobacteriota; Cyanophyceae; Oscillatoriales; Microcoleaceae. The record is from Rfam.
GUCAGCACCCCGCUCUCUUUGUGACGGGGCUUCAUGCCUCUAACUUUAGAUAGCUCGUACCCGCCUAAGCCUAACGGCUACGUUUUCUGGAUCAUAAUACCCACGAAUACGACGCUAGUUUGUGGCUCUAUUGUUAACAAUUAAACAGUUUUACGAGGGGUAAGACAGUGUUGUUAACCUAACAAGUUCAGAAAAUCUUAUUGAAGCGAACAUUAC